UUCAUCUAAGCAAUUUGCUUCCCUCUUCUAGGAUCUUGUGCCAUCAUUGGUAACAUAGAGCAUUUCCCCCUUGUCUAAUGUCACACUCUGUCACUAGGGAGCUCUAUGGUAAUAAUAACAAGGUCUACAAUCAAGCAGACCCGAGUUUGAAUCCUGGCUCCGUCCCCAAGCAGUGGGCUGUUGGGCAAGUCAUAUAUACAACAGAGAUAAUAAUACUACCUCAGGGUCUCUGCCCUUAUUGUUCAUUCUCCUUGGAACAGUUCCCAGUCAUCCACAAGGUCACCCUUAUAUCUCCUUCUAGUCUUACUCAAGUUACCCAUUACCUAGGCCUGCCUCAAACAGUCUCUAACCUUGCAAAUGACACUCACCAUUUCCUACUUCCUUUCCUCAUGCUAUUAUUUUCCUUAACACUCAACACCUAACAUUCUAUACAGAGCACUCCAUUCUCUUAUUUAUUGCCUGUUCCCAUCUUCUUACCUCUAGAAUGUAAGCUCUAUAUGGGCAGGAUUUUUUUUUUUGUAUUUCUUUACUGCUGUAUCCCCAGUUUCUAGAGUGAAUUAGGUGCUUAAUAAAAUAUUUCUUGCAUAAAUGAA
Molecule: long non-coding RNA, 593 nt
Filed under: Rattus norvegicus (Norway rat)
Lineage: Eukaryota; Metazoa; Chordata; Mammalia; Rodentia; Muridae
Description: long non-coding RNA NONRATT008926
Source: RNAcentral